GAUCAUGGCUCAGGAUGAACGCUGGCGGCGUGCUUAACACAUGCAAGUCGAACGGGGUAUUAACGCUGAACGAGCGAAUAGCUGCUAGGAACGAGUUCUGUUAAGACCUAGUGGCGGACGGGUGAGUAACGCGUGGGUAACCUGCCCAUUACCGGGGGACAACAGUUGGAAACGACUGCUAAUACCGCAUAAGCGCACGGGGACGCAUGUUUCUGUGUGAAAAAACUCCGGUGGUAAUGGAUGGACCCGCGUCUGAUUAGCCAGUUGGCAGGGUAACGGCCUACCAAAGCGACGAUCAGUAGCCGGCCUGAGAGGGUGAACGGCCACAUUGGGACUGAGACACGGCCCAAACUCCUACGGGAGGCAGCAGUGGGGAAUAUUGCACAAUGGGGGAAACCCUGAUGCAGCCGACGCCGCGUGAGUGAAGAAGUAUUUCGGUAUGUAAAGCUCUAUCAGCAGGGAAGAUGAUGACGGUACCUGACUAAGAAGCCCCGGCUAACUACGUGCCAGCCGCGGC
Molecule: ribosomal RNA, 517 nt
Filed under: uncultured bacterium
Lineage: Bacteria
Description: bacterial SSU rRNA
Rfam family: Bacterial small subunit ribosomal RNA
Source: RNAcentral